CAGCAGCCGCGGGAAAACGUAGGUGGCAAGCGUUGUCCGGAAUUAUUGGGCGUAAAGCGCGCGCAGGUGGUUUAAUAAGUCUGAUGUGAAAGCCCACGGCUCAACCGUGGAGGGUCAUUGGAAACUGUUAAACUUGAGUGCAGGAGAGAAAAGUGGAAUUCCUAGUGUAGCGGUGAAAUGCGUAGAGAUUAGGAGGAACACCAGUGGCGAAGGCGGCUUUUUGGCCUGUAACUGACACUGAGGCGCGAAAGCGUGGGGAGCAAACAGGAUUAGAUACCCCUGUAGUCCCUGUCUCUUAUAC
RNAcentral lists this ribosomal RNA (301 nucleotides) under uncultured bacterium. RNAcentral's name for it is "partial 16S ribosomal RNA". It matches the Rfam family "Bacterial small subunit ribosomal RNA", at positions 509 to 807 of the family's 1533-position model. The record is from RNAcentral.